UCCCACCGCUGCAGCCC
RNAcentral lists this microRNA (17 nucleotides) under Macrophomina phaseolina MS6. Its description in RNAcentral is "miR-1280". Lineage: Eukaryota; Fungi; Ascomycota; Dothideomycetes; Botryosphaeriales; Botryosphaeriaceae. The record is from RNAcentral.